GACGAACGCUGGCGGCGUGCUUAACACAUGCAAGUCGAACGGAAAGGCCCUGCUUUUGUGGGGUGCUCGAGUGGCGAACGGGUGAGUAACAAGUGAGUAACCUGCCCUUGACUUUGGGAUAACUUCAGGAAACUGGGGCUAAUAUCGGAUAGGAGCUCCUGCUGCAUGGUGGGGGUUGGAAAGUUUCGGCGGUUGGGGAUGGACUCGCGGCCUAUCAGCUUGUUGGUGGGGUAGUGGCUUACCAAGGCUUUGACGGGUAGCCGGCCUGAGAGGGUGACCGGCCACAUUGGGCCUGAGUUACGGCCCCGACUCCUACGGGAGACAGCAGUGGGGAAUAUUGCACCAUGAGCGGACGCCUGCUGCAGCAACGCCGCGUGCGGGAUGACGGCCUUCGGGUUGUAAACCGCUUGCUCCUGUGACGAAGCGUGAAUGACGGUAAUGAGUAAAAAAGCCCCGGCAAACUACGUG
This 468-nucleotide ribosomal RNA is filed under the name uncultured bacterium. Its description in RNAcentral is "partial 16S ribosomal RNA". It matches the Rfam family "Bacterial small subunit ribosomal RNA", at positions 28 to 507 of the family's 1533-position model. The record is from RNAcentral.